AAGUUUGAGGUGAUUGUAUCACAAUCAGUUAAAACUUUCAACAAUGGAUCUCUUGGUUCCGGCAUCGAUGAAGAACGCAGCGAAAUGCGAUAACUAGUGUGAAUUGCAGAAUUCCGUGAAUCAUUGAGUCUUUGAACGCACAUUGCGCCCCCUGGUAUUCCGGGGGGCAUGCCUGUCCGAGCGUCAUUGCUGCCCAUCAAGCACGGCUUGUGUGUUGGGUAGUCGUCCCCUCUCCGGGGGGGACGGGCCCCAAAGGCAGCGGCGGCACCGCGUCCGAUCCUCGAGCGUAUGGGGCUUUGUCACCCGCUCUGUAGGCCCGGCCGGCAGCAGCCGAACG
RNAcentral lists this ribosomal RNA (337 nucleotides) under Aspergillus flavus. Its description in RNAcentral is "eukaryotic LSU rRNA". The stretch from base 33 to 186 matches the Rfam family "5.8S ribosomal RNA". Lineage: Eukaryota; Fungi; Ascomycota; Eurotiomycetes; Eurotiales; Aspergillaceae. The record is from RNAcentral.